RNAcentral lists this long non-coding RNA (357 nucleotides) under Felis catus (domestic cat). RNAcentral's name for it is "lncRNA (ENSFCAG00000045209.2)". Lineage: Eukaryota; Metazoa; Chordata; Mammalia; Carnivora; Felidae. The record is from RNAcentral.
GUUUACGUCGGCCGGAGGAGCAGGCCCGGAAGACCUGCCGCAUGGGCAGCCCCCUUGCUGCGCGGCACCCUGUGAGCCGGGGCCUGUGGGCCACAGCUGAUUGGACCAAGGUUUACAGGGGACAGGGGACCACUGGACCAGUGUUUAUCCCAGUAUCUGGGAGCCACUGUGUGCAGCUGAGCACAGCCCAAGUGAGCAGAGCGGGUGGUUAAAGUCUUCCGUCGUUGCCCAGAGAAGUGACCUGAGUCGCUGAGUCCCAGGAUGCAGCUGGGAGCCAGGGACAUGGCUUCCAAUCCUUGAGCCUCUGUUUCAGACACAUGGCCUGAUUUUUUGCUCCAGGAGGCUCACCUCUGUGGG